AGUGAACGCUGGCGGUAGGCCUAACACAUGCAAGUCGAACGGCAGCACAGUAAGAGCUUGCUCUUACGGGUGGCGAGUGGCGGACGGGUGAGGAAUAUAUCGGAAUCUACUUUUUCGUGGGGGUUCACGUAGGGAAACUUACGCUAAUACCGCAUCUGACCUACGGGUGAAAGCAGGGGAUCUUCGGACCUUGCGCGAUUGAAUGAGCCGAUGUCGGGUUUGCUAGUUGGCGGGGUACAGGCCCACCAAGGCGCCGAUCCGUAGCCGGACGGAGAGGAUGGUAGGCCGCACUGGAGCGUGGACACGGUCCAGACGCCUACGGGAGGCAGCAGUGGGGAAUAGGGGGCAACAGUGGCAAGCCUGAUCCAGCCAUACCGCGUGGGUGAAGAAGGCCUUCGGGGUGUAAAGCCCGUUUGUGGGUAAAGAAAAGCAGCAGGUUAAUACCCCGCUGUACUGACGGUACCGAAAGAAGAAGCACCGGCUAACUUCGUG
This 492-nucleotide ribosomal RNA is filed under the name uncultured bacterium. RNAcentral's name for it is "partial 16S ribosomal RNA". It matches the Rfam family "Bacterial small subunit ribosomal RNA", at positions 29 to 507 of the family's 1533-position model. The record is from RNAcentral.